This 118-nucleotide ribosomal RNA is filed under the name Clostridium autoethanogenum. The record is from RNAcentral. Lineage: Bacteria; Bacillati; Bacillota; Clostridia; Eubacteriales; Clostridiaceae.
UCUGGUGGUAAUGACGUGAAGGUAACACCCCUUUCCAUACCGAACAGGAAGGUUAAGCUUCACAGUGCCAAUGGUACUGCAGGGGAGGCCCUGUGGGAGAAUAGGUCGCUGCCAGGUA